This is a long non-coding RNA of Hemiscyllium ocellatum (epaulette shark), 533 nucleotides long. RefSeq lists it as uncharacterized. The record is from RefSeq and is a predicted model, not a curated record. The transcript is spliced from 3 exons. Lineage: Eukaryota; Metazoa; Chordata; Chondrichthyes; Orectolobiformes; Hemiscylliidae.
GCAAAUGUUUGAUGGAUCAAGAUAAUGUAAUAUUUCCUCAGUACAAAGCUGCUUCUACCAACCAGCAGGAGAUGUCUCUUCUGUCUUCCUCCAGACAAAUACUUGAAGGACCAAGACAUAUUCCCUCGGGGCAAAGCCAAGUGUGAUCUGUUCCUCCUAACAAACAGCAGAAUGCAAAAAGUAAAGCAUUUUCUGCUGUUGGGGAGAGGCUUUCAAAGUGAACCGCGAGAACACCAAAACAGCUGCCGGACUGAAAUGUGAAAUACGGUAACGUUUACUGAAUCUGAGCGAGAGCGGGAAGAGAAGACGACUUUAAAAUAUCGUCUAAACAUCGUAUUCGCCAUCGAUACUGAGCCGGAAGAAUGUUGUGUGUCGCUUUAUAAACAUUCCGGGGUGUUAUUGAAAAUGUGAAAAGACAGUUUGCAGACUGCAGUGUUUAGCCUGUUUUGUUUCAGCUUCGUCACAAGGUUUAGAAAAUUGACCAUUCUCAUUAUCAGAAAUGGACAGACAGGGGUGGGCAAAUGAGGGAGAGA